AUUGUCCAUUUAAAGCCACCCAUGCUUUGUAAUGGUUAACACAGGGGGGCAGAGCAUUUUCCUCACUAAAACGCAGUUUGGAGGCUCGUACCCUCCUCUCUGUAUCCUGUCGUGAGGUACAUCUCUGCUGAUUUAAACUGCGCAAACUGUUGGCACUAUAUAAAACCUGUGUAAUAUGCCUUUAUUUUUUUUAUCCUCUGAUAAAGUGACCCUUCAAACAAUGUCAGUCUACCUGGUCUCCACAUCUCCGUAGUUCCUCCUGCUGGUCUUCUUAAGCCUUUGGUUUCUUGUAAUGGUGUGGAGUUCAGCAGAAGAUUAGUGCCAAACAUGGUUGGUGUUUCAUCAGAGGUUAAUCACUUGGGGGUCCAGGUACAUCUGACUGGACAAUCGAAAAUGGUACAAGAGAGUAGGCCACCUACUGAAAAAGCUAAAAACGGAAAUUGCUUGGCUACAUGAAAAUAACGUACAUGGAAACUUCAGAAAUAAACCUGACUCCAAAUUAUGGUUUCUACUGUUUGGACUAUUGAUGGAAGAUGGUUCUGCUGAAUUAGGCACUGCCUGCUGAUCGCGCGCUGUUUUUCAGUUGGGGAUAGACAGCACUGAUGUCUGAAAUAAAACCUGUUGGGACAUCAAAAUGGCUGCAGACCUUUGAUUCCUGUGUUUUUUGCUCCAUGUCCUUGGAUUUUUUUUUUGGGCAAGAACUGAUGAAGAAUCUGUCUUAGAAGGAUUUUUUUUUUUUUUUUUUCCCUCUAGGGACCUUCAUUGGCUAGAUUCAUGGGUCACAAGAAUGCUCAUAUGUGAAGCUUAAAAUAAAGAUCAAGCACUCAAAAUGAA
Long non-coding RNA from Rana temporaria (common frog), 834 nucleotides. RefSeq lists it as uncharacterized. The record is from RefSeq and is a predicted model, not a curated record. The transcript is spliced from 4 exons. Lineage: Eukaryota; Metazoa; Chordata; Amphibia; Anura; Ranidae.